This is a long non-coding RNA of Fukomys damarensis (Damara mole-rat), 455 nucleotides long. RefSeq lists it as uncharacterized. NCBI's taxonomy places the organism in Eukaryota, Metazoa, Chordata, Mammalia, Rodentia, Bathyergidae. The record is from RefSeq and is a predicted model, not a curated record. The transcript is spliced from 3 exons.
UGCUACCCUGCUGGUUUUGAAGAUAGAGGAGGCAUCAGGAGCAAGAAGAGGCAAGAAAACAGAUUCCUCCUUGGUAGGGCUGGAGAAAGAAUGGCCCUUACCAUUCCACUGAGGACUUCUGACCUCCAGAGGAAGAGGAAAAAUUGUGCUGUUUUAAGUCAUUAAGUUUGGGUGAUUUGCUCCAGCAGCCACAGGAAACUAAUAUAUCUGCAGGAGACAGGGAUCUCAAGGUCGCUGGCCUUGGGGCCUUGCCAGCUCCAAGUAGGAGACAGAAUGCUUCCUGCCCAUGCAUGGACCUGCCAGCGAGUGAGGGAGGCAACAGAGUGCAGUGCAAAAGCCCAAAGAUCUGGAAACCUGAAUGUCAACCCGGAUCUGCUUCAGGCCCCCACCUGUGCGGCGGACAGGCCGGGACUGGAGUGCCGCGCACCCCCUAACUCAGCAUGCUCCGGCAGCGU